RNAcentral lists this ribosomal RNA (1419 nucleotides) under metagenome. RNAcentral's name for it is "bacterial LSU rRNA". It matches the Rfam family "Bacterial large subunit ribosomal RNA", at positions 1391 to 2805 of the family's 2925-position model. The record is from RNAcentral.
CUAAGGCGAGGCAGAAAUGCGUAGUCGAUGGGAAACAGGUUAAUAUUCCUGUACCUUAAUACAAUGCGAUGUGGGGACGGAGAAGGUUAGGCAAGCCAAGUGUUGGACGCCUUGGUUUAAGCGUGUAGGGAGAUCUCUUAGGCAAAUCCGGGAGGUCAAUUCUGAGACGUGAUGACGAGUGCCUUAUGGCGCGAAGUUGCUGAUACCAAGCUUCCAAGAAAAGCCACUAAGCUUCAGUUGUAUUGAGACCGUACCGCAAACCGACACAGGUGGGCAGGAUGAGAAUUCUAAGGCGCUUGAGAGAACUCGGGUGAAGGAACUCGGCAAAUUUGCACCGUAACUUCGGGAGAAGGUGCGCCCCGGUAGAGUGUAGGACUUCGCGUCCGAAGCUCGAUGGGGUUGCAGUGAAAUGGUGGCUGCGACUGUUUAAUAAAAACACAGCACUCUGCAAACACGAAAGUGGACGUAUAGAGUGUGACUCCUGCCCGGUGCCGGAAGGUUAAAUGAUGGGGUGCAAGCUCUUGAUUGAAGCCCCGGUAUACGGCGGCCGUAACUAUAACGGUCCUAAGGUAGCGAAAUUCCUUGUCGGGUAAGUUCCGACCUGCACGAAUGGAGUAACGAUGGCCACACUGUCUCCACCCGAGACUCAGCGAAGUUGAAAUGUUUGUGAAGAUGCAAUCUACCCGCGGCUAGACGGAAAGACCCCAUGCACCUUUACUGUAGCUUUGCAUUGGAUUUUGAGCAGAUUUGUGUAGGAUAGGUGGGAGGCUUUGAAGCGGUGUCGCCAGACGUCGUGGAGCCAACCUUGAAAUACCACCCUGAUGUGUUUGAGGUUCUAACCUAGGUCCGUAAUCCGGAUCGGGGACAUUGCAUGGUAGGCAGUUUGACUGGGGCGGUCUCCUCCCAAAGAGUAACGGAGGAGUACGAAGGUAUCCUAGGUACGGUCGGACAUCGUACUGAUAGUGCAAUGGCAAAAGGAUGCUUGACUGCGAGACUGACAAGUCGAGCAGGUGCGAAAGCAGGUCAUAGUGAUCCGGUGGUUCUGUAUGGAAGGGCCAUCGCUCAACGGAUAAAAGGUACGCUGGGGAUAACAGGCUGAUUCCUCCCAAGAGUUCAUAUCGACGGGGGAGUUUGGCACCUCGAUGUCGGCUCAUCACAUCCUGGGGCUGUAGUCGGUCCCAAGGGUAUGGCUGUUCGCCAUUUAAAGUGGUACGUGAGCUGGGUUUAAAACGUCGUGAGACAGUUUGGUCCCUAUCUGCCGUGGGCGCUGGAAAUUUGAAGGGACCUGCUCCUAGUACGAGAGGACCGGAGUGGACGGAUCUCUGGUGUACCGGUUAUGACGCCAGUCGUAUUGCCGGGUAGCUAAAUCCGGAAGAGAUAACCGCUGAAAGCAUCUAAGCGGGAAACUCGCCUUAAGAU